AGUGAACGCUGGCGGUGGGCCUAACACAUGCAAGUCGAACGGCAGCACAGUAAGAGCUUGCCCUUACGGGUGGCGAGUGGCGGACGGGUGAGGAAUACAUCGGAAUCUACUUUUUCGUGGGGGAUAACGUAGGGAAACUUACGCUAAUACCGCAUACGACCUACGGGUGAAAGCAGGGGAUCUUCGGACCUUGCGCGAUUGAAUGAGCCGAUGUCGGAUUAGCUAGUUGGCGGGGUAAAGGCCCACCAAGGCGACGAUCCGUAGCUGGUCUGAGAGGAUGAUCAGCCACACUGGAACUGAGACACGGUCCAGACUCCUACGGGAGGCAGCAGUGGGGAAUAUUGGACAAUGGGCGCAAGCCUGAUCCAGCCAUACCGCGUGGGUGAAGAAGGCCUUCGGGUUGUAAAGCCCUUUUGUUGGGAAAGAAAAGCAGCAGGUUAAUACCCCGCUGUUCUGACGGUACCCAAAGAAUAAGCACCGGCUAACUUCGUG
RNAcentral lists this ribosomal RNA (492 nucleotides) under uncultured bacterium. Its description in RNAcentral is "partial 16S ribosomal RNA". It matches the Rfam family "Bacterial small subunit ribosomal RNA", at positions 29 to 507 of the family's 1533-position model. The record is from RNAcentral.